RNAcentral lists this ribosomal RNA (278 nucleotides) under uncultured Acidobacteriota bacterium. RNAcentral describes it as "uncultured Acidobacteria bacterium partial 16S ribosomal RNA". The record is from RNAcentral. Lineage: Bacteria; Pseudomonadati; Acidobacteriota.
GUAUCUAAUCCUGUUUGCUCCCCACGCUUUCGUCCCUGAGCGUCAGUAUCGAGCCAGAUAACCGCCUUCGCUACUGGUGUUCUUCAUGAUCUCUACGCAUUUCACCGCUACACCAGGAAUUCCACUUUCCUCUCCCGCACUCGAGUCAUUCAGUAUUCGGCGCACCCUCCCAGUUGAGCCGGGAGAUUUCACACCAGACUUACCAGACCGCCUACACACCCUUUACGCCCAGUAACUCCGAACAACGCUUGCUGCCUACGUAUUACCGCGGCUGCUGG